GGCGAUUCUCAGGUGACACACCUUGGAAUUGGGCUCCCUCCUCUCUGGUUCUGGGUGUGUCACCUGAGAACCACA
Non-coding RNA from Myotis davidii, 75 nucleotides. Lineage: Eukaryota; Metazoa; Chordata; Mammalia; Chiroptera; Vespertilionidae. The record is from Rfam.